This is a long non-coding RNA of Bos taurus (domestic cattle), 2354 nucleotides long. NCBI's taxonomy places the organism in Eukaryota, Metazoa, Chordata, Mammalia, Artiodactyla, Bovidae. The record is from Ensembl.
AUGCUCUAGAGCCCAGGCUCUGAAACAAGAGCAGCCUCCACACUGAGCUUGAGCACCACACUGAAGAGGAGCCCCUGCUCGCCGCAACUAAAGUCCGUGCACAGCCAAAGAUAUAUAAAUGAAAUGUCUAAAAAAUAGAGGCUUGCUUUUCCCCUGUAACAAAACAUUUAGAGGCAAUCACUUCUGAGGUUGACUUGCUUAAUCCAGGGUCUCUCCCUUUCUCCUAGUCUUACCCUCAAGGUUGCAAGACAGCUGCAUGUGUUCCAGGCACCACAUCUCCACUGAAGGCAAGAAGGGGAAGAGGUGGUGGUCUUCUACGUCUCUUCUAACAGGAAAAAAAAGGCUUCCCAGAAACACGUGCCAGCGGACUCUGCCUUGCAUUCUGUUGACCAGCUCUGCCACAUGGCCACCCCCUGCAAGACGCUCUCAUUCCUCACUUUCUGCUCUAGGAGGGGUCAAGACAGAAGCCUCUCCCCUGGGUGUACCCAGCCGUGCUUCCUGCUCCAGCCUGCGUCCAUCAGCUGCAGCUCCAGGCUCCGAUAGCAGCUUCAGCAGGAUGGCGAGUGACCUCCUGCACAAACCGCCUUCAUCUCCAUCACCUGCAUCUCCCAAGAGGCAGCUAGUUUGCCAAAGGUACCAGGAAGCUCACCUCCAGAAGGCUUGCCCAGUACUAAUUCUGAUGCACAGGCAGCUCCCAACACUUCAGGUUUCUGUAAAGCCCCAAAGCCAGCACAAGAUGAUUUAAUUACCACGUGAAUGAGUCAAAAAACAGAUGCGAGGUUUCCAGAAAUGCCUGCAAGUGCUUAGUAAGUAGCCACAAUUGAUAGAGAAAUUGCAAAGACACGCUGGAAACAAAGGCUGGCUCAAGGCACAGUCACAGCCCGAAAAGUGCUGUCAACAGAGGGGUACUCCUACCCACUAACCCCCACCCCCACCCCAGUCCUGUUAAAUGCAGAGAGCUGGGAAAUCGUCUGUAAUAGUCUGGCCCACGUGAACUGCAAUUAGCAGCAACAAGCACCACCCACAGACUCCCCGGGAACGUGCUCAUGGUUAAUCGAUUCGAUUGAUCACUGUUUAUUAAGCAAAAACCUGCUUUCUAAACUGUUCUUCCCUAAAUGGUGUUUUUGUUUUUGUUUUUUUCCCCAGUCUGCUAGAAAAUAGGAGACUAAUUAGAGCUUUUAAUUUAAAUCCAAGCAGGGAGAUGCGAGCAUGUACUACGGGAAAAGCAUUAGGAGGCGGGGAGGAGAUGAGGAGCCCCGCCCCCAGCUCCCCAGAGCAGCAACGGUAGCGCUAACACGCUCCCAUAAAGACCUCCCGAAUCCGCAUUUCACUCUUCAGAUCAAGAAGCCACUGGGACCAGGUCAGACGAGAGCAUCAGGAAGGCAGCCCACUGAUAAUAUAGAUUAUGGGAGUGUUUGGGUCGCACCAGUGCUGUGAAAUUGAUCGGCUCCAUUCAGCACCUUGCGAAUCAACAGAGGAAAUCAAUGGUUGGCAGACGGUGAGGAGGCAUCACUGGGAAGUCAAAGUGCAACCCUGAAGGGAGCUGGAAAGGAAGCAAGCAGGACACCUCCGGGCUUUGCUGGAAGGAAGAUGCUCCCUGGUGCCAAGGAACAGCAGGACGUAGUCACUUCCGCCUUGUGGGAAGCAUCUUCAUCUCAGACCUCAGCCAGGCAAAAGAACUUUAAAAGCAGCCUUUCCAUAAUCAUAAUUAAGGAUGGUGCAAACAGGUAGUUGCAGGGCGUUCACCCCAACGUGGUUGGAAAUAUUGAAAAUCUGGAAACAACCUAUAUCGUCCAACAGAAGUCAGUUAUACAGAUCUUCCACACAAUGACGUACUAAAUUAUCAUUUCUAAAAGCACAGGAGAGAAAAAAAGAUACUGCUGCUGAAAUGAUAACUUGCUUAAAUUUAAUAAACAAUUUUUAAAAAUAAGAGAAUGACCUUAAAAGAUGCUCAAGAUGCCACGUAAGUGGAGAGCAGAUUGCCAGAUGGCAAAAUCAGUGCCUGCUGUAGACCAACAUGCUGAUGUUGCUACUUCUGGGAUGAGAUCAUGGAAGAGACCCCUCUCUUUUUAGUUCCUCUGUAUUUUCUAACUUGCACAGCAUCUGUAUUUAUUAGGUACACAUUGCUGUAUAUUUUAAACCUAUGUAAUCAUAUUAUCCUUUUAAUGAGUGAAGGGAGUAUGGCUGAUGCUUUGCCUUCAUCCUUCCUUCACCCCAACACAGCAGAGAAUUUCAGGGGCUGCAGUGCUGACCCAGCAGACAGCCUGGGUCAGAACACAGAGCUGAAGUGUCAGACAGGUUAUUAAUAAGUAAUCAGCAGCCGGCAUUUCUCAGAGCACUUUGGAAGAAAGCAG